RNAcentral lists this ribosomal RNA (2792 nucleotides) under Staphylococcus xylosus. Its description in RNAcentral is "23S ribosomal RNA". It matches the Rfam family "Bacterial large subunit ribosomal RNA". Lineage: Bacteria; Bacillati; Bacillota; Bacilli; Caryophanales; Staphylococcaceae. The record is from RNAcentral.
GAUUAAGUUAUUAAGCACGGUGGAUGCCUUGGCACUAGAAGCCGAUGAAGGACGUUACUAACGACGAUAUGCUUUGGGAGCUGUAAGCUUUGAUCCAGAGAUUUCCGAAUGGGGAAACCCAGCAUGAGUUAUGUCAUGUUAUCGAUAUGUGAAUACAUAGCAUAUCUGAAGGUAGACGCGGAGAACUGAAACAUCUUAGUACCCGCAGGAAGAGAAAGAAAAUCGAUUCCCUGAGUAGCGGCGAGCGAAACGGGAAGAGCCCAAACCAACGAGCUUGCUUGUUGGGGUUGUAGGACACUCUAUACGGAGUUACAAAAGAAUAAACUAGACGAAUCAUCUGGAAAGAUGAAUCAAAGAAGGUAAUAAUCCUGUAGUCGAAAGUUUAUUCACUCUUGAGUGGAUCCUGAGAACACGAGAAAUUCCGUCGGAAUCGGGAGGACCAUCUCCCAAGGCUAAAUACUCUAGUGACCGAUAGUGAACCAGUACCGUGAGGAAAGGUGAAAAGUACCCCGGAAGGGAGUGAAAUAGAACUUGAAACCGUGUGCUUACAAGUAGUCAGAGCCCGUUAAUGGGUGAUGGCGUGCCUUUGUAGAAUGAACCGGCGAGUUACGAUUUGAUGCAAGGUUAAGCAGUGAAUGUAGCCGUAGCGAGCGAAAUAGGGCGUUGAGUAUUUGGUCGUAGACCCGAAACCAGGUGAUCUACCCAUGACCAGGUUGAAGUUCAGGUAACACUGAAUGGAGGACCGAACCGACUUACGUUGAAAAGUGAGCGGAUGAGUUGUGGGUAGGGAGAAAUUCCAAUCGAACCUGGAGAUAGCUGGUUCUCUCCGAAAUAGCUUUAGGCUAGCCUCAAGUGAUGAUUAUUGGAGGUAGAGCACUGUUUGGACGAGGGGCCCUUAUCGGGUUACCGAAUUCAGACAAACUCCGAAUGCCAAUCAAUUUAACUGGGAGUUAGAACGCGGUGAUAAGGUCCGUGUUCGAAAGGGAAACAGCCCAGACCCCAAAAUAUAUGUUGUGGAAAAGGAUGUGGCGUUGCCCAGACAACUAGGAUGUUGGCUUAGAAGCAGCCAUCAUUUAAAGAGUGCGUAAUAGCUCACUAGUCGAGUGACACUGCGCCGAAAAUGUACCGGGGCUAAACAUAUUACCGAAGCUGUGGAUUGUCCGUAAGGACAAUGGUAGGAGAGCGUUCUAAGGGCGUUGAAGCAUGAUCGCAAGGACAUGUGGAGCGCUUAGAAGUGAGAAUGCCGGUGUGAGUAGCGAAAGACGGGUGAGAAUCCCGUCCACCGAUUGACUAAGGUUUCCAGAGGAAGGCUCGUCCGCUCUGGGUUAGUCGGGUCCUGAGGCCGAUAGGCGUAGGCGAUGGAUAACAGGUUGAUAUUCCUGUACCACCAUAAUUCGUUUUAAGCGAUGGGGGACGCAGUAGGAUAGAAGCGUACUAUUGGAUUGUACGUCCAAGCAGUAAGACUGAGUGUUAGGCAAAUCCGGCACUCUUAAGGUCAAGCUGUGAUGGGGAGAGGAAAUUGUUUCCUCGAGUCGUUGAUUUCACACUGAAAAGCCUCUAGCUAGAAUUGUGGUGCCCGUACCGCAAACCGACACAGGUAGUCAAGAUGAGAAUUCUAAGGUGAGCGAGCGAACUCUCGUUAAGGAACUCGGCAAAAUGACCCCGUAACGGGAGAAGGGGUGCUCUUUAGGUUAACGCCCAGGAGAGCCGCAGUGAAUAGGCAAGCGACUGUUUAUCAAAAACACAGGUCUCUGCUAAACCGGUGAUGUAGCUGACGCCUGCCCGGUGCUGGAAGGUUAAGAGGAGUGGUUAGCUUCUGCGAAGCUACGAAUCGAAGCCCCAGUAAACGGCGGCCGUAACUAUAACGGUCCUAAGGUAGCGAAAUUCCUUGUCGGGUAAGUUCCGACCCGCACGAAAGGCGUAACGAUUUGGGCACUGUCUCAACGAGAGACUCGGUGAAAUCAUAGUACCUGUGAAGAUGCAGGUUACCCGCGACAGGACGGAAAGACCCCUGUAGUCUGAUAUUGAAAUUCGGCACAGCUUGUACAGGAUAGGUAGGAGCCUGAGAUGCGUGAGCGCUAGCUUACGUGGAGGCGUUGGUGGGAUACUACCCUCGCUGUGUUGGAUCAUGGUGGGGUGGAGACAGUGUCAGAUGGGCAGUUUGACUGGGGCGGUCGCCUCCAAAGAGUAACGGAGGCGCUCAAAGGUUUCCUCAGAAUGGUUGGAAAUCAUUCAUAGAGUGUAAAGGCAUAAGGAAGCUUGACUGCGAGACUUACAAGUCGAGCAGGGUCGAAAGACGGACUUAGUGAUCCGGUGGUUCCGCAUGGAAGGGCCAUCGCUCAACGGAUAAAAGCUACCCCGGGGAUAACAGGCUUAUCUCCCCAAGAGUUCACAUCGACGGGGAGGUUUGGCACCUCGAUGUCGGCUCAUCGCAUCCUGGGGCUGUAGUCGGUCCCGGGUUGGGCUGUUCGCCCAUUAAAGCGGUACGCGAGCUGGGUUCAGAACGUCGUGAGACAGUUCGGUCCCUAUCCGUCGUGGGCGUAGGAAAUUUGAGAGGAGCUGUCCUUAGUAGAGGACCGGGAUGGACAUACCUCUGGUGUACCUUGUCGUGCGGCAUCGCUGGGUAUGUAUGGACGGGAUAAGUGCUGAAAGCAUCUAAGCAUGAAGCCCCCUCAAGAUGAGAUUUCCAACUUCGGUUAUAAGAUCCCUCAAAGAUGAUGAGGUUAAUAGGUUCGAGGUGGAAGCAUAGCGAUAUGUGGAGCUGACGAAUAAUCGAUCGAAGACUUAAUCAA